RNAcentral lists this ribosomal RNA (119 nucleotides) under Olea europaea subsp. europaea. The record is from RNAcentral. Lineage: Eukaryota; Viridiplantae; Streptophyta; Magnoliopsida; Lamiales; Oleaceae.
GGGUGCGACCAUACCAGCACUAACGCACCGGAUCCCAUCAGAACUCCGAAGUUAAGCGUGCUUGGGCGAGAGUAGUACUAGAAUGGGUGACCCCCUGGGAAGUCCUCGUGUUGCACCCC